This is a non-coding RNA of Trichonephila clavipes, 67 nucleotides long. Lineage: Eukaryota; Metazoa; Arthropoda; Arachnida; Araneae; Nephilidae. The record is from the annotation of a GenBank genome assembly.
GCAGUAUGGUAGCAAUGACUCUCGGCUAGUAACCGAGUGGGUUCGGGUUCGAAUCCCGUGUAAAACU